ACUUCGUGCCAGCAGCCGCGGUAAUACGAGGGGAGCAAGCGUUGUUCGGAUUUAUUGGGCGUAAAGGGUUCGUAGGCGGGUUGAUCAGUCAAAAUUUAAAUCCAAUGGCUUAACCAUUGAUCUGGUUUUGAUACUGUCAAUCUUGAGUUAUAUAGAGGUAAGCGGAAUUCCUGGUGUAGCGGUGAAAUGCGUAGAUAUCAGGAGGAACACCAAUGGCGAAAGCAGCUUACUGGGUAUAUACUGACGCUGAGGAACGAAAGCGUGGGUAGCAAACAGGAUUAGAGACCCUGGUAGUCCACGCCGUAAACGAUGAGCACUUGGUGGUAGAGGCUUCGACCCCUGUACUGCCGUAGUUAACGCGUUAAGUGCUCCGCCUGGGGACUACGACCGCAAGGUUGAAACUCAAAGAAAUUGACGGGGACCCGCACAAGCGGUGGAUUAUGUGGUUUAAUUCGAUGCAACGCGAAGAACCUUACCUGGAUUUGACAUAUUUUUGAAAUCUCUACGAAAGUAGAGACUUUUUUAAGCUUGCUUAAAAACAAUUAUACAGGUGAUGCAUGGCUGUCGUCAGCUCGUGUCGUGAGAUGUUCGGUUAAGUCCGAUAACGAGCGCAACCCCUAUCCUUAGUUGCCAGCACGUAAUGGUGGGGACUCUAGGGAAACUGCCCGGGAUAACCGGAAGGAAGGUGGGGUCGACGUCAAGUCAGUAUGUCCCUUACAUUCAGGGCUACACACGUAAUACAAUGGGAAAUACAGUGGGUUGCGAAAUCGCGAGAUGGAGCUAAUCUCAAAAAAUUUCCCCAAGUUCGGAUUGCAGUCUGCAACUCGACUGCAUGAAGCAGGAAUCGCUAGUAAUCGCUCAUCAGCAUGGAGCGGUGAAUACGUUCCCGGGUCUUGUACACACCGCCCGUCACGCCAUGGAAGCUGGUCGCGCUCGAAUACAGUGCCUUAACCUUCGGGAAAGAG
Molecule: ribosomal RNA, 965 nt
Filed under: uncultured prokaryote
Description: bacterial SSU rRNA
Rfam family: Bacterial small subunit ribosomal RNA
Source: RNAcentral